Molecule: long non-coding RNA, 1936 nt
Organism: Sebastes umbrosus (honeycomb rockfish)
Lineage: Eukaryota; Metazoa; Chordata; Actinopteri; Perciformes; Sebastidae
Exons: 3
Source: RefSeq, a predicted model, not a curated record
AACCCUCAUCAUCAGUGACUGAAAACUUAAAUUACUAGUUAAUACUGAAGCAUUCAUCAUCUCAUCAGAGCGCAGAACAGCGAUGUCAAACAAAUGCGGAUCUCAACGCCACAGUAGCACACCAAUAAAAAUUCAAAGGAUGUGGUCUCCAAGCAGGUUACAUGAUGAAUGACCAAAUACAACGUUGUGGUCUAGUAUGUGUGUGCACAACCAUAUUUUUUGAGAGAUGUACAGCAGAGAUGUGUGAGUGUGUGUAGGCGCAUGCGUCUGUGGGGGAAACACUUUUUUUCUGGUCAUAUAUUCAGACGAAGCAGCCAUGCUAAUGAGGCCGGUUCCUCAUAUCAAAGCCUGUCUUUCUAUUUACUGAACUCUGUAACAGAGCGGCAGCAGAGUUGUCCAGCACAUUAAGAACACGAUCCAGUCACAAAACUGAACCGGGACAGAAUAUGCAUGGAGGGGGAUAUUUAAAGUUAUUAUUCCACUGGUGAAACCUCAUCACUGUGUGCAUUUUUCCAUGCAAAUCUAUAAGCUACGCCAUAAUCUACAAUGUCAGGGUCUAUAUUUCAGUUAAAAUUGUAAUUUCGCAAGGCUCAUGUCUGUGUCACUGCUGAUAAAACAAUGCAAGCAGAAACGCUGAGCGAAGGUUAAUGGUGUGUGACCAAUGAAAGGUUACAGGCCAGACAGAGCAGCGCUGCAUCAGAAGAGCCUUCGUGAUUAAAGCUUUUUUUUUUGCGGAGGGACGCUGGGUGCUGUUUUGACACAGUCAACCGAUGUCCGCUUUAGAGAAGAUAAGCUUUGGACUGAUUAGAGGGGCAAGAUGGGAUUUGUGAUACUUUGGGAUCUUAAUAAUCAGACUUAUCUUCAAAAUCAAACAUGACAGGUUUUCAAUCUCAGUGCAGCAGAACAUUAGUGUGGCGAUGUUGGUGAUGAUUAACUGCAGAUCACACACUGUGUACACGGGUCAGUGUGUUGAUGUGCGCAACGGGAUCAUUUGAAGUGGGCGGCUGGAAACAGUCAGCGGGCGUGGCCUGCACGAGUUCACAGACAGUUAUCUGACGUUUAAUGUAUGCGAUCACCACAAAAUAAAAAGCAGAUACACACUGUUCAAAAGUGUAAGAGUGUAGCUUCUAAUGACACUUCUCACGCCACAACAGCAUAUUUCAACAAGGUUUAUAAAAUAUCUAGAGAUGCCGUGUUCUCCGCUGUGUAUACAUUAAAAAGUUCAGGCCGACAGUUCAGUUACACUCAACUUUUGUGGAGCAUUCAUUUGUACAGAUUGCUGGCCGUGACAGAAAUCCAGAUAUUGCUCAUUGUGUCUGUCAGUUGUUCUGGUGCUGUCUGAGGGCAAACUGGAGAAUAUCAUGUUUUGCUUCUCUCAUUUGUCUAUAAUUGCAUGGUGAAACAGGUUUCAAAAUGACACUUAAAUGAAGGCUUAUUUUUCUCUCAUUUCGUGGUAAACUCUCCUUCUUUCUGCCUUAUUAAUGUCCCAGCUCAAUAAAGCUGGAUCAUAUUUGCAAAAUAUGCAAAAGCGUUCUUUGAUAGAUACUGGCAGAACGUGCUUUGUUUGUGAUUCUGACCUCAAAGUGUCAACUUGAGAUUACCUGGCAAUUAUCUCCUCUUCAAGAAGCACAGGAGCAACUAAUAAAAGACAGCCAACAUAAUCUGAAUUUGCAUGAUCGUCUGGAAGCUUUACUGUACAGUCGAAGAUAUACGACAGCUCAAAAAUUCUUUAAAUGUUUCCUUAAAAGAGCAGUGUGGAGGAUUUAGUGGCAUCUAGUGAUGAGGUUGCAUGUGCAUUGGAGAACUACGGUGGCCUUCAGGUUACUGGUGCCUUGAAAUAGGGUCAGGUUUACCGUGUUCAAGAGAAGAGUCCAUAUGAACGCCCCCUUCUUGUAUAUUCACGACCUCGCAAGUGGAAAGUUUUUUUGCAGUUGAG